This 194-nucleotide ribosomal RNA is filed under the name uncultured bacterium. RNAcentral describes it as "partial 16S ribosomal RNA". It matches the Rfam family "Bacterial small subunit ribosomal RNA", at positions 337 to 524 of the family's 1533-position model. The record is from RNAcentral.
GCCUACGGGAGGCAGCAGUGGGGAAUUGUUCGCAAUGGGCGCAAGCCUGACGACGCAACGCCGCGUGGAGGAUGAAGGUCUUCGGAUUGUAAACUCCUGUUGCCAGGGACGAAAAGCUCCGACCUAACACGUCGGAGUCUGACGGUACCUGGUGAGGAAGCCCCGGCUAACUCUGUGCCAGCACCCGCGGAAUA